GAAUAAAAAUAUAUUCUCUACGAAUGAUUAUGAUCAAUUUGUUAAAAAAUAUCUCAAAUCUCAAAUAAGAAUGAACAAUUAUGAUCAAUCUACUAAAAGAUAGCAUUCCUAUCCAUCUAUAAAUCCAAUCCUACGAACAGUUAUAAUCAAUUUAUUAAAAAAUAUCUCAAAUAAAAAUAAAUGAUUAUGAUCAAUUUGCUAAAAAAUAACAUUCCUAUCCAUCUAUUUUAUAUUAAAAUUAAAAAUUGAGUUUAAAUCGUGAAUUAAAUUUAAUUUUUGAUAUCAAAUUUGAAUUAAUAAUUAAAUUUUUUUAAUUACAGUAGAUCAAAAUUUAAUUUUAAAAUUUAAAGUAAAUGUUAAUUAAAUUUCGACGCUUUUAGUUUAAAACACAUACUUAAAUUUUAGAUUAAUCAAAAAUAGAAAAAUAUAUAAAAAUAUUCGAUGUAUAUAAAAAAAAAAUGUUGUAAAAUAUUGCAAAUAUUUUCUAAUAAAAUAUAACAUAUGAAUUUAUACAAUAUAAUUUUUAUUGUAAAUAUUCGGAUAAGUAUAAUGUACAAAUUUAUAUUGAUUUGAAAUAAAUUAAAAUAAUUAUUACGUGUAUUUGCACGUACACUCAACUAGUAUAUAUAUAUAUAUAUAUAUAUAUAGAGUCCGGCUACUAUACUAUCGAUAGUACCAAGUCCUUGGUACUAUUGAGUUUUCUACCGUUAGAUCUACCCUUUGAUCAUUUCCACUCGUUAGAUUAUACUAUUAAACCUACCACUCACUCAACCCUAGGGGACCAUUAUUAAUUUAACCGGGGACUACUAUCAUCCUAACCCUACAUCUUUUCAUCCAACGGCCGAAAACUCAAUAGUACCAAGGUGCUUGGUACUAUUGAUAGUAUAGUAGCAUAAUUCUAUAUAUAUAUAUAUAGAGUCCGGCUGGAAUACUAUCGAUAGCAUCAAGCACUUGGUGCUAUCGAGUUUUUCGCCGUUAGAUUUAACACUUUGACUAUUUUCACCCGUUUGAUUAUAUUAUUCAACCAACAACUCACUCAACCCUAGGGGGCCCACAUCAUAUUAACCGUACAUUUCUUCAUCCAAGGGCAGAAAACCUAAUAGCACCAACAACUUGGUGCUAUUGAUAGCAUUCCAGCCUAGUUAUAUAUAUAUAUAUGGCUAAAUUACAGAAAACCUCCUUGUAAUAACCCGCUUUUUCACUUUCCCCCCCUGACAUUUAAAAACCUACACUUUGCCCCUUUGUAAAAUGAAAAAUGUGCACUUCACCCCCUACCGUUAGGUUCCGUUAUAAAAUAUUUUUUUAUGCCGAAAAUACCCCUCCACCCUCUUCAUUGUUGCUUCGCCUCCCUCCGGCUUGCUGCCUCGCCGCCUUGCCGUCCUCCACUACCUCGCCCUCGCCCACAUCCCCUUCGCCCUCCUCCGCCGCCUCGCCUUCGUCCUCGUUGCCCUUUCCUACCUCUCCAUCAACACUCACCUCGAUUUCCUCUUUACUAUUGUCGAAAUCGAGGGGCGGCGAGGGUGCAGGAGGAGAAGGGGAGUAGGUGGAGAAAGAAAUGGAGAGAAAUCGCGGCCGAUUGAGGUAGGAAUCGCGACCGAUCGAAGGGGCGGUUGAGGAAGAUGAGGAAGAAGACGAAAAUGGCGAGGGGCAAAAUGAUCAUUUUACACACCGUGACCCCCCUAUGAACAUUUUUCAUUUUACAAGGGGGCAAAGUGUAGGUUUUUAAAGUGCAGGGGGGGAAAGUGAAAAAGGGGUUAUUACAGGGGAGUUUUCUGUAAUUUAGCCUAUAUAUAUCUAUAUAUAUAUAUAUAUAGAGUCCGACUGGGAUGCUAUCGAUAGCACGAAGCAUUUGGUGUUAUCAAGUUUUCUGCCGUUAGAUUUACCUCUUUUAUCAUUUUCAUCCGUUCGAUUAUACUAUUCAACCAACCACCCACUCAACCCUAGGGGGCUCACAUCAUCCUAACCGCACAUCUUUUAAUCCAAAGGUAGAAAACUUAAUAGCACUAAGUCAUUUGUGCUGUUAAUAGUAUUC
RNAcentral lists this long non-coding RNA (2032 nucleotides) under Ananas comosus (pineapple). Its description in RNAcentral is "long non-coding RNA (ACOM_LNC042115)". The record is from RNAcentral. Lineage: Eukaryota; Viridiplantae; Streptophyta; Magnoliopsida; Poales; Bromeliaceae.